UAUACUCAGCUUUUCCAAACACAAUACUGCCAGACAUCCCUUUCCAGCCCUGGAAGAAGCAGACGGAUCCUGCUACUGUUUCCCGGGCUCUUUGAUGGGUCUCCGGAUGGCCCAAAGAAAUACAGAUCCCCAAUAUGGCAGCUACUGACUUGAUCUCACCUAGCUUUCUUCCUUCGCCAUUUUCUAAGCCCGCUGCUCUCAAAAAUGGGUCAUUGGACGAUCCGAAAGCAUUCAAGAUAAUUCCCAAGAGCGAACCGGGAUUCAUUUAAAUAGCUAAAUCGCCCAACAGCCAGCAAUAGGAGGCGCCACCGGCAUUCCAGUUCCAACUUGAAAUGCAACACCACCCAAGGAAACCAUUUGACGAAACCAUUCGGAACAUUUAAAUCCUUUCCUGAUGGAACCUGGUCAACACAGGGCCCACGCUGCCGAAAUUUAUGACCACAUUGUUGCAUUUUUCCCUUGUUUACUUUGUGCCUCCUUCCAGAUUACACACGGAUAUCUUUGGCGUGGUAAACUCCCAGUCGACGUCCCGAUGGACUCGUUCUACUACAUUGCUCUGCGGAGAGUAUAGCGGACUCUUUAGCGUUGAGGUGGUAGUUUCCUGUACGGUCUUCAAGAACGUUCAAGAACAGUUAGGAGAGCGGCGAGACACUCUCGGUUUCGGUGUAGUUCACCUGAUGUAUAUUCAUUUUCGUCGAGAAAGAAGCAAUCAGCUGCUCCUGUCCGUCGUUGUCUCGCUGGAACAGCACCGCCCCGACUUUAACUCUUGAAGUCCGCAUGCACCAGGCCUGGUGCUGUCGUUAACGCCAUCUUCAAUGACUCCAGGGCUAAGUGGGCGUUUAGACUCAAAGAAAACUGCGAGCUACCAGUAUUCUUCAGCGAUUCAGUAAGCGGAGCAGCCAACGUCGCGAAGUUCUUUAUGAACCGGCGGUACGGUAAUUUAGCAGUCCCAGUAUCAGCAUAGACGAGUGGCUCUCGGCUAGGAUUACUCAAUACAUGAGUCUCACCAAACGCUGCACCGCGUUGCAGAAUCUGAAAGGCAUCACCCGGAAUUUGUAGAGAGGCUGACCAGGAACAGUACAGGCCGUGAAUUCCAUGUUUUUUGGAUCCAUAUUGAUCUGCCAGAUAUGUAGUACAUUUUGUCGAUCUUAGACAGAAUGCCAACGAUACUAUGUAGUGGGUCUGGACAAUACCGACUCCGAGAGCUUUCAUCUUGUUCACCUCAUCCUCGACUACUUUCUGAUUCUUGAAAACCUUGGCUCCCUCGAUCAGCACAAUUGUCUGUGUUUCCAGGCUGGUCGUUUCCAGACCAUCGUUCUCGAACGUGAGAAACACCUGCUAAACCUCUUUAAGCUGGUAGCGCCCAGUACUCGGGAUCGGCUAGUCCUCGUCGUCGUUGUCCUGUUCCAUCUCCCUAGCGUGGAUUUCGUCGACCUUUUUCAAGCUUUCGGGGUCGCCGUAGCCAUUCACCACCGGAGCCAAGCCAAAUGCUGCCAGAAGUCGAAUCCUGUACAACAGGAUCCGCUUUGUCUGUCCUCGGUAUUCCACAGGCAACUUGACACAUCUCCCAAUGCCGUUUGGACCACGGAGAGGUAUUUUUGGACGGGCACAUCAAACGCUUCAAACAGCUCUCGUCCACCUUUUCUAAACAGGCUGAUAUUCGCUCCCGUGUCCAGCCAUCCCGGCAGCUGUUGGGUCAGGACUCAGACUUAGGCGAAUGGUCGAGGGUCUUCCUUUCCAUUGCGCUUAACCACGGCAACUAUUUCUAGCCUCUGCGCUCGUCGUUUCCGGAAUCGAUCCUUGGCCUUCUGGACUUUUCUGAACAUCAAUCUCAUGAAGCUCAACUUUUGCUCCUCGAAGAUCCGGUUUCUGACCCCCAAGUACCGGCGCAUCCGAUCUUUCUACGUCCUAAGUAGGGACAUUUACUGCUUCUCGGAACUCCUCUCUGGGCGCAUCCUUUUCGGCCUGGGAUCGCCCAGUCGAUCGUUUUCCGCGCAAUCCGGGCAGUUCGGAGUGAUGACGUCCGGGUUUCCGCGUACCUAGCAGAAAAGUCUGCUGUCUCGUUCCAAUCCGGAGCCUCUUCAGCCUCAGAAAGCACUCCCUCGCUCACCCUGAGUUUGUCCCCGGGGUCAAAGCGCGGUUGCUGCCCAUAUGAGGUGCGUCCUCGGAGGCCGAAAUUGCGUUCGACCUCGAUGCAAUAAGUCGAAGAAUUCCAAAUCGGUGACAUCAUUCGGUCGGAAUAGCAUUUCGGCCACGAUGUUGGCGGAUAAAUUUUGGGUACACACUAUCACAGAUGAUAUUUUUGAAGCAACAUAUUGAUUUGUGUAGACCGAUCAUCGAAUUUGAUUUAUUUAAUCACUGCUUGGAUAUUGUCAGCAUGUCAUCCAGGUACACAAAAACGAGGCUGCGCAGACGCUGUUGGAUUACUUUAUCCAUUACUCUACAGAACCUUUUAGCCGAAUUACACAGGACGCAUAUCUAACUAGCUUAAGAUCGACUUAAGGUUUUGUAAUGGAGCCUAUUUAAUCCAGGUGUUUCUACUAGCGUCCUUCGGUUAUUCCAGGGACUUUCACUUAAAUCGAUGAGUCCUUUCCGUAGAAUUUCGUCUACUUCAGCAAACAGUAAUUGUUGUUUUGCCGUAGACACUUGAAAGAAUCCUAUAAGAACUUCAAAGGAGUAUAGGUAAUCGAUGUGUCAACCCAUUGUAGGAAAUAUUGGUCUGAAAUGCUGUGUACCUCCUGAUGAUUUCAUGAUCGAUUGUGACCUAUCUAGCCUCCGCCCAAACUUUGCAAAUAUUUCUAGGCAACCUUAUCUAAAUAAACUGACUGAUGCUACGGAAUUCAAGAGACCCACGAUUUCCGUGGAUUUUACCAAGACCUGCGCAAAAGGACUUUUAUCGCCUCUCACUGUCGGUACUAUGGCGAAACCUGUUAUUCUUUUUCCGACCUUCCGUUGAUAAUUACUUUUGGAGAAAUGUUCACAAAUAUUCGGUUCCGACCAUCUUAUUAUAUGUAUUGGUUUAUCCUUGCAAGGCUUUUAUAUGUUGCUGGAAAGCGGAUUGGAGCGUGGUCCCGGGCUUUUGACCAAGCUCCUCCAACCGUUUCCCGCUGGGUAUCGUGGACACUUUGGAGAAGCAGAACACCUUGACUACCUCAGAACGCAUGUUCUUUUAUUCCCUAAUUCAAACAUAGGUGCGCACUCUACCCUCAGACGAUCGUUAUACCCCCGGCUAUGCUCGAGGUUGCUCGGAUGCAGAGCCUACCGGGUCGCCAGUAUUUUCUCCGUGUCGUGACAUUCAUAACGGAGUUGAUCCAGCUCCAGCAUCGCCUGUGGUCCGGCAUCGCAGUAACCAUC
Non-coding RNA from Drosophila suzukii, 3354 nucleotides. The record is from RefSeq and is a predicted model, not a curated record. Lineage: Eukaryota; Metazoa; Arthropoda; Insecta; Diptera; Drosophilidae.